This 443-nucleotide ribosomal RNA is filed under the name uncultured bacterium. RNAcentral's name for it is "partial 16S ribosomal RNA". It matches the Rfam family "Bacterial small subunit ribosomal RNA", at positions 338 to 795 of the family's 1533-position model. The record is from RNAcentral.
CCUACGGGAGGCUGCAGUGGGGAAUAUUGGGCAAUGGGCGCAAGCCUGAUCCAGCAACGCCGCGUGAAGGAAGAAGGCUUUCGGGUUGUAAACUUCUAUUCUCAGGGACGAAGCAAGUGACGGUACCUGAGGAAUCAGCCACGGCUAACUACGUGCCAGCAGCCGCGGUAAUACGUAGGUGGCAAGCGUUAUCCGGAUUUACUGGGGGUAAAGGGCGUGUAGGCGGGGACGCAAGUCAGAUGUGAACACCACGCGCUCAACCUGUGGCCUGCAUUUGAAACUGUGUUUCGUGAGUACUGGAGAGGCAGACGGAAGUCCUAGUGUAGCGGUGAAAUGCGUAGAUAUUAGGAGGAACACCAGUGGCGAAGGCGGUCUGCUGGACAGCAACUGACGCUGAGGCGCGAAAGCGUGGGGAGCAAACAGGAUUAGAUACCCUUGUAGUC